Molecule: ribosomal RNA, 439 nt
Filed under: uncultured bacterium
Lineage: Bacteria
Description: bacterial SSU rRNA
Rfam family: Bacterial small subunit ribosomal RNA
Source: RNAcentral
UACGGGAGGCAGCAGUGGGGAAUAUUGCACAAUGGGCGCAAGCCUGAUGCAGCCAUGCCGCGUGUAUGAAAAAGGCCUUCGGGUUGUAAAGUACUUUCAGUCGUGAGGAAGGUGUUAAGGUUAAUAACCUUAGCAAUUGACGUUAGCGACAGAAGAAGCACCGGCUAACUCCGUGCCAGCAGCCGCGGUAAUACGGAGGGUGCGAGCGUUAAUCGGAAUUACUGGGCGUAAAGGGCACGCAGGCGGUUAAUUAAGUUGGAUGUGAAAUCCCCGGGCUUAACCUGGGAAUGGCAUUCAAGACUGGUUAGCUAGAGUCUUGUAGAGGGGGUUAGAAUUCCAUGUGUAGCGGUGAAAUGCGUAGAGAUGUGGAGGAAUACCGGUGGCGAAGGCGGCCCCUGGACAAAGACUGACGCUCAUGUGCGAAAGCGUGGGGAGCAAA